UGCUUCCAUCUGGAAGAAUCUGGAGACAGGUGCUGCAUGGCUGUCGUCAGCUCGUGUCGUGAGAUGUUGGGUUAAGUCCCGCAACGAGCGCAACCCUUGCCUUUAGUUGCCAGCAGUUCGGCUGGGCACUCUAAAGGGACUGCCGGUGUUAAACCGGAGGAAGGUGGGGAUGACGUCAAGUCCUCAUGGCCUUUAUGACCAGGGCUACACACGUACUACAAUGGCCGAUACAAAGGGCAGCGACACUGCGAGGUGAAGCCAAUCCCGUAAAAUCGGUCUCAGUCCGGAUUGGAGUCUGCAACUCGACUCCAUGAAGUUGGAAUCGCUAGUAAUCGUGGAUCAGACAUGCCGACGGUAGAAUACGUUCCCCGGGCCUU
This 377-nucleotide ribosomal RNA is filed under the name uncultured Desulfobulbus sp. Its description in RNAcentral is "bacterial SSU rRNA". It matches the Rfam family "Bacterial small subunit ribosomal RNA", at positions 1012 to 1382 of the family's 1533-position model. Lineage: Bacteria; Pseudomonadati; Thermodesulfobacteriota; Desulfobulbia; Desulfobulbales; Desulfobulbaceae. The record is from RNAcentral.